AGUUUGCUUGUGGUACUAAAUAACGUAACUCGUUUUUCUUGAAAAGAAAGUGAAACCCCCCUUUAGUACAAUCUCUUCUCUCCGAAACACAAUCGAUUCCUCUCUAAAAUCCCCCCUUUCAAAAUUUUUCUCUUUUCGGUUUUUAUAACCGAUUACAAUCACCAUAAAAACUCCCAUUCCUCUGUUGUUGCUGCGGUUUUAUAACCGACACACCCAUACCCUGCAAACACAAACAACAAAAACAGCAGCAACAACAGAGGAAUGAGAGUUUUUAUGGUGAUUGUAAUCGGUUAUAAAAACCGAAAAGAGAAAUUUUGAAAAGGGGGAUUUUAGAGAGGAAUCGAUUGUAUUUCGGAGAGAAGAGAUUGUACUAAAGGGGGGUUUUUCACUUUCUUUUCAAGAAAAACGAGUUACGUUUUUUAGUACCACAAGCAAACUAAAAUCAAUAAAGAUCAGCCAAGAAUACUCCAAAGGUGAUUUUUUUUGUUUUUUUAUUCUGUUAUUCUGUUUCUAUUUCGACACAAAUACGAUGUAUAGAGAGAACGAGAGA
RNAcentral lists this long non-coding RNA (550 nucleotides) under Gossypium barbadense (sea-island cotton). RNAcentral's name for it is "long non-coding RNA (GBAR_LNC012933)". Lineage: Eukaryota; Viridiplantae; Streptophyta; Magnoliopsida; Malvales; Malvaceae. The record is from RNAcentral.